Molecule: ribosomal RNA, 253 nt
Filed under: uncultured bacterium
Lineage: Bacteria
Description: partial 16S ribosomal RNA
Rfam family: Bacterial small subunit ribosomal RNA
Source: RNAcentral
UACGAAGGGGGCUAGCGUUGCUCGGAAUCACUGGGCGUAAAGCGCACGUAGGCGGAUUGUUAAGUCAGGGGUGAAAUCCUGGAGCUCAACUCCAGAACUGCCUUUGAUACUGGCGAUCUUGAGUCCGGGAGAGGUGAGUGGAACUGCGAGUGUAGAGGUGAAAUUCGUAGAUAUUCGCAAGAACACCAGUGGCGAAGGCGGCUCACUGGCCCGUUACCGACGCUCAGGCGCGACAGCGUGGGGAGCAAACAGG